CGGCUGUAGCUAUAUUUAAAUCAAAUCGGCUGUGAAGUUAACUGGCCGGUUAUCGUUCUCCGUCGAAUAAUCUGCUUACCGAACUUCACACAUUU
Hibiscus syriacus is the source of this 95-nucleotide small nucleolar RNA. RefSeq annotates it as small nucleolar RNA snoR109. The transcript has a single exon. Lineage: Eukaryota; Viridiplantae; Streptophyta; Magnoliopsida; Malvales; Malvaceae. The record is from RefSeq and is a predicted model, not a curated record.